AUAUACAUGACAUCUUCAUAAGAACAAUAUAAGAUUCGCCAAGAAGGAGUUUUGUCGUUUGGGAAAAGGAUGCAUGUAAUACUAUCAAUAAUUGCAAACAUUUAUCCAUUCAAAAGCUGACUACCCAGAAGUAUAAAAACUACAGGAACAAGUGAUAAUGAUUGGUGCACCUAUUAAAAAGUUCUGGAGGCUGCAAUGUCCAAGAUCA
Molecule: long non-coding RNA, 208 nt
Organism: Lemur catta (Ring-tailed lemur)
Lineage: Eukaryota; Metazoa; Chordata; Mammalia; Primates; Lemuridae
Exons: 3
Source: RefSeq, a predicted model, not a curated record